UGUUGACAUUAUAGUUGUGCAGGAACUUUGUUGACUCUAGAGAACAUCGGGCAAAUCGCACAUCCCCGUGGCGGCGACUUUGCAUGUGGAUGUCAUCCAUAUCAACUUGGUGACCACGGGUAACGGGGAAUCAGGGUUCCAUUCCGUACAGGGACCCUGAGAAACGGCUACCACAUGCAAGGAAGGCAGCAGGCGCGCAAAUGACCCACUCCCAACGCGGGAAGGUAGUGACGACA
Pelobates cultripes (western spadefoot toad) is the source of this 236-nucleotide non-coding RNA. The record is from the annotation of a GenBank genome assembly. NCBI's taxonomy places the organism in Eukaryota, Metazoa, Chordata, Amphibia, Anura, Pelobatidae.